Cynoglossus semilaevis (tongue sole) is the source of this 1232-nucleotide long non-coding RNA. RefSeq lists it as uncharacterized. The record is from RefSeq and is a predicted model, not a curated record. NCBI's taxonomy places the organism in Eukaryota, Metazoa, Chordata, Actinopteri, Pleuronectiformes, Cynoglossidae. The transcript is spliced from 2 exons.
CCGUCAACAAGAACUGGGAGGAGACGUUUUCUGCCUCUGCUCUCCGGGUCUGUCGCUCACGUCGCAAUGUCACUCGGCUACAGUAGCGCCGCUGUGUUUACACCAUGAGACCAAAGGGGACGGGCAGCUUUAACAUGGAGCGAGAGAGAACUCUCCUUUCCUUUUCCUCGUCCACUUCAACGAACGACGAAAAGAGCCGAGUCUGGUCGAGAGGAGAACGAGGAGGGAGGGAGGGAGAAAGGCGGACCAAUGAGAAACUUACUACUGUUUCAGGCAAAAUACUAACCACAUCCGGCUAUUUUCAAAAUAAGACUAAAAUGCACAGCUUCAGUAAAUCCCCGAGGGAAAUUAUUUUUGUGGGACACAAUAAUGUACCAAACGGUUAAUACUAUGCUACUUAAACCACAAGUGACUACAAUACAACUUAAAUUUCAACAAGUUGAGAUUUGGUAUUGGAUUUUAAAAGAUCUAUCAAAUUCAUUAUUGAUAAAAUUCAUAUUUAAAUAUUCAUAUUUCUAGGCUUACUGCUAUAUUAUGCACAGAACCAUCUCAGUACUGUACAGCAAUAAAUGUGUACUUCAAAUGAACAUGAUAAGUGCAAUUUUUUAAGUGUACACCAAAAAAAAAAACUAUAAAAAUUAACAAAUCUCUGAAGUGUAUGUGCAUAUACUCCCUCAAACUACAUCAGUCUGUGAGAGGUGCAGUGUUCCUACACAGCUACAUGUUCCUACUCAGAUAAGUGAGUGAAUUUAAUCACAACAGCAACCUGGCUGCCAGGAUUGGAGGCGUGCACAUUCCUUAAAAAAGUGUAAGUAAAUACUGUGUACACUUUCAAUGCCAGGUAUAAAUGACUACAUUUUUGUUGCUAACUUACAUUCCUAUCUUUAUUACUUACCUCAGCAGACAGAUGACACAGUCAAAGGAUAAAAACAGGUCACAGAAAUAUGUUCGGUAAAAGUCUUUUUUUUAUUUAAAUUAUAAUAGAAAAAAAAAAAAACCUAAAAACAGCGUAGAGCUAAAGACAACUUCCAAAACAUGGUUGAUGUCUGAUGCAUGUGUGUGAUGUUAAAAAGAAGCACCUUAUAAAAAAUAGAUAUCUACAUUGUAACAUAAUGAACAGUACAGCAUCCAUGUCCCAAUGUGGUGUGUACAUUUGCCCCAAAUAUAUUGUAAAAAAAAAAAAAACUAUUGCAAAACUAAUAUUGACAGCAGUCCUCCACAUUAUCUACUUU